RNAcentral lists this long non-coding RNA (436 nucleotides) under Linum usitatissimum (flax). RNAcentral's name for it is "long non-coding RNA (LUSI_LNC007840)". Lineage: Eukaryota; Viridiplantae; Streptophyta; Magnoliopsida; Malpighiales; Linaceae. The record is from RNAcentral.
AGCCCAUUCAAAAGCUAUAGUAUAGAGUUUGCAGAGUUUGCAGUAAAAGUCUAAUCAACUCAGUUGAACAAACCCUCCUGAAAAAACCACAGCUAGCAAAGAAUUAACUGAUCAUCAAGAACAAAAUCUGGAAUAAUUAUGAGCCCAUUAAUAGGAAUAAUUACUAACAGAUAGUAUAUAUGUAGGAAGAGUAGCCUGACAAUUAAAGGUGGAAAAUAAUAAUAAUAAUAAUAAUUAUGGGGGUUAGUUAAUAGUUAGGAUAUUUUGGGAGGAAAAAGAGGGGGAGAGAGCAUUGAAUAGGGGAAGGUGUGAUUAGGUAAUGAUGAUAAUAUUAUAUGCAGAGAAACAGCAGCAGGUGCAGUGGUUGCAGACUUGCAGCGGCAGCAGCAGCAGCUAGCAUGCCUUUCCUUUCUAUUUCUCUUCAUUAAAACCAAAU